Molecule: non-coding RNA, 224 nt
Organism: Pelobates cultripes (western spadefoot toad)
Lineage: Eukaryota; Metazoa; Chordata; Amphibia; Anura; Pelobatidae
Source: the annotation of a GenBank genome assembly
CUAAUAAGUAACCUUGGUCAAUUUCCUUCUGUAGGAGUAGGUCAAUAGUGUCGGGUGCUGCCAAGGCUGUCUGCAAAUUAUUACAUUCCAGGAUCCCCGUGGGCAUGUGAAUAAUACCCGUGUGAAACCCCAUCGUAAACCCUGUCACCAAAAAAUCAACGAGAUGUUGGGAAGGGUGAUCACGCAAAAGCUGUUUCAGUAGGGAGACAUGAAGAGACGAUAAG